This 1051-nucleotide long non-coding RNA is filed under the name Arabidopsis thaliana (thale cress). RNAcentral describes it as "long non-coding RNA (ATHA_LNC000176)". Lineage: Eukaryota; Viridiplantae; Streptophyta; Magnoliopsida; Brassicales; Brassicaceae. The record is from RNAcentral.
UUAUCGGUCCCAUAUGUCUGGAAUCUGAACAAUUAAUUAGCUUAAGCAUGGAACAUUACUAUCACACGGCAGUCAUCUUUUGUCUUAAACCACACAACACUACUUUAUGAUAUUGAGCAACCAUACAUGUGACAAGCCCUUUCAUUGCUUGCAAACUUUGUAGAGGAAACCAAAAAAACACUUCAGCCUCGAACCAAUAGCUUGAGCGAAGGUGCUCGCAGUUAUUCUUCCCAGUAACUCAGAUGGACAAAAACUACAGAACACACGUUACACUUACAUGACAGAAAAUCUGAAAUAACACUAAAUAAUCAAGCAAUUUACCCAAAUAAUUCUUUGAUUCCAUUUUUGCAUAGACCAAGUCAAUAAGAUUGAAUUAAAAUGAAAAAGAAGAAAUGCAAUUUACCUCUUAAACUUGCUUUCUAAAGAUUAAGACGAGAAUUGAUUGAUCACUGCAAUCAUGAACACGUUCAAAGCUGCUGGUUCAGAAAAAACCACAGAAAUAUAUAGCAAAAAUAAAUGGUUGCAGCUUUAAAAGUUUAGCAUGAUCAUCGCAGAAAAACACAUUUUCAGUUUAAAACUUGAUCAGCUCUAACAUCACAAUCCAGAGACUUUUUCUUACUCUUCGGUACCAAAAAAGAAGAGAAGGUAAAGAAGGUAAGCGAAUGGCUUCCUUUGAAAUUGCUGUUAGGUUCCCAAGAGAUGCAGGGAAAUUCCCUGUCAGGUUGUUUACACGGAGAGAUAAAAGGACAAGCAGAGGAAGCGAACCCAGUUUAGAAGGAACCUCGUGUUCAAGAUUGUUGGAGGAUAGAUCAUUGGUCAAAAGGGAAAAACAGUUAGAUAUAUAUGCCAAGUGGAAUCCCACCUCCAAGAAUGAUCUUGCUCAGGUUCAAGUGUUGAAGCCUGAACAGCUUCCCUACCUCAAGAGGGAUACUACCAUUGGAAGAGUUGUACGUGAGACUAAGAGAUGUGAGGAAAUAGAGGUUACCGAUAGAGGGCGAGAUAACACCGGUUAGUUUCAUUCCUUCGAGAUCCAACCAGUGACUCUCUUGUG